RNAcentral lists this ribosomal RNA (492 nucleotides) under uncultured bacterium. RNAcentral describes it as "bacterial SSU rRNA". It matches the Rfam family "Bacterial small subunit ribosomal RNA", at positions 903 to 1397 of the family's 1533-position model. The record is from RNAcentral.
AAAGGAAUUGACGGGGGCCCGCACAAGUAGCGGAGCAUGUGGUUUAAUUCGAAGCAACGCGAAGAACCUUACCUAGACUUGACAUAUUCUGCAUUACUCUUAAUCGAGGAAGUCCCUUCGGGGACAGAAAUACAGGUGGUGCAUGGUUGUCGUCAGCUCGUGUCGUGAGAUGUUGGGUUAAGUCCCGCAACGAGCGCAACCCCUAUUGUUAGUUGCUACCAUUAAGUUGAGCACUCUAGCGAGACUGCCUGGGUUAACCAGGAGGAAGGUGGGGAUGACGUCAAAUCAUCAUGCCCCUUAUGUCUAGGGCUACACACGUGCUACAAUGGCAAGUACAGAAAGAUGCGAACUCGUGAGGGUGAGCUAAACUCAAAAACUUGUCUCAGUUCGGAUUGUAGGCUGAAACUCGCCUACAUGAAGCUGGAGUUACUAGUAAUCGCGAAUCAGAAUGUCGCGGUGAAUACGUUCCCGGGCCUUGUACACACCGCCCGU